GAUGAAGAACGCAGCGAAAUGUGAUAAGUAAUGUGAAUUGCAGAAUUCAGUGAAUCAUCGAAUCUUUGAACGCACAUUGCGCCCAUUAGUAUUCUAGUGGGCAUGCCUGUUCGAGCGUCAUUAAGUCCACUUAAGCCUAGCUUAGUGUUGGGAGACUGCUCCAGUGGUGCUACCCUGUAGCUACCCUGCAGCUCCUUAAAGACAGCGGCGGAGUCGUGUUAUCCUCUGAGCUUAGUAAAUCAUUCUAGCUUUCGAGAGUAUCACUUCACCUGCCGUUAAACCACCUAAUUUUUAUGGUUGACCUCGGAUCAGGUAGGAAUACCCGCUGAACUUAAGCAUAUCAAUAAGCGGAGGA
This 355-nucleotide unclassified non-coding RNA is filed under the name soil metagenome. Its description in RNAcentral is "partial contains 5.8S ribosomal RNA, internal transcribed spacer 2, and large subunit ribosomal RNA". The stretch from base 1 to 120 matches the Rfam family "5.8S ribosomal RNA", at positions 35 to 154 of the family's 154-position model. The record is from RNAcentral.